This 620-nucleotide long non-coding RNA is filed under the name Androctonus crassicauda. Lineage: Eukaryota; Metazoa; Arthropoda; Arachnida; Scorpiones; Buthidae. The record is from RNAcentral.
AAAAAUGAAGAUAAAUAUAAAACAGAAAAAUAUAAAAUAACUAGAAAAACUAAAAACUAGAUCUUAGAGUCUUUGGCCUUAUGGAGGUAGUGCUGAGAUAAUGUUUGCUUGUUUUUGUCUUGCAUUUUUUUCGUUUUUCUAGUAAGUACAUCCAUGAUGACGGCAAAUCGAUGACUGGUUUCUCGUUCAGUAUCUGUUCUUUGUGCUGGGUUUUCAGUAUUUCUAUAGACUCUGUUAGGAAAGCUUGUGAUUGUGCAACUAAAGGUUUUAUUAUUAUUGUGUUUUGCCAGUCUAUUUGUAGGUCACUGCCGAAUGCUUCCAUUGCAAGAGCGGUGGAUAGCUUCCCCAACUAUAUCUUUCUUAUGUUCAUUUAUCCUUUGUUGUAAGGUUCUGGUGGUUACCCCUAUGUAUGCCGUCUAUUGUUGGGUGUCAUUAUACUUAGCUGAUUUUAAUGGCAUAUUUUUAUCCCUAUAGCUUCAACUAUAUUAAAAAUGUCUUAUAAUAAAGUUACUGAGGAUAUAUUCUAUUUUGGAUCAUUCAUUCUUUUUAUGGUAUGGAAAGCAUAAAAAGCAUUUGAGUACAGUGGAAAUAAGAUAUUUGAGGAGUGUGGCUGAAGUGAU